UCCUACGGGAGGCAGCAGUGGGGAAUUUUGCACAAUGGGGGAAACCCUGAUGCAGCAACGCCGCGUGGAGGAUGAAGUCCUUUGGGAUGUAAACUCCUUUCGACCGGGACGAUAAUGACGGUACCGGGAGAAGAAGCACCGGCUAACUCUGUGCCAGCAGCCGCGGUAAUA
This 171-nucleotide ribosomal RNA is filed under the name uncultured Acidobacteriota bacterium. RNAcentral describes it as "uncultured Acidobacteria bacterium partial 16S ribosomal RNA". It matches the Rfam family "Bacterial small subunit ribosomal RNA", at positions 337 to 525 of the family's 1533-position model. The record is from RNAcentral. Lineage: Bacteria; Pseudomonadati; Acidobacteriota.